Molecule: non-coding RNA, 79 nt
Organism: Myotis lucifugus (little brown bat)
Lineage: Eukaryota; Metazoa; Chordata; Mammalia; Chiroptera; Vespertilionidae
Source: Rfam
AGACCCAGAGAGAGGCAGGGUCUGAUCCGCAGCCUCAGUGGCAGCUGUUGAUCAGUACUUGCCUCUCUCUCUCCCUCUU